GGAAAUGUAGUUUUACAGGAGGGGUGCAGCUGUUCCAGAGAGGGAGUCCCCUGUCCCGUCUGUGCAACAGAAUCCCCCCUACUCAUCAGGAAUCUGCAUGGUAAUCCCCCAUCUCCAUCUCCCUCCCCCUCCCACCCCCAAGACGGCCGAGCCCAGAACCAAGCGACCUGGGACCCAGGGGCGACCAGCCCCGCCGGGGAACCAGCAGAGCCCAGGGACCCAGAUCCCACCAGGCAGCCACCAGGAUUGAUCAGGCAGACGCUAAAAAUUUUAAACCCCCUGACCCCGGAGCCGCAAACACUCAGGCAGACCAAGGCACCACACUCCACACCAAGUGUGACAGGGGGAGGGGAGGCGAAGAUGUAUAGCAUCAAAAGAAGUCUCAGGAGAGGGGAGGAGUCAAAGGCCCCACCUGACAUAUACAGUCAUACACAAACACAGUCACACACUCCCUCCCACACAUACACAUACUACCUAAGAUACAAAAAUGCAUGCCAGACACCCACUCAUACUCCCCAUACACACCCUAUUCACUCUGGUCCCGGUACUGCAGCACAAAGGGUACAACCAUCACCGGUUCCCAGAGUUCGACCCUUUCUGCUGGGGUGCUGAUGAGCAGGCUCCCCGCCCAACACCAAGCAACGCGACCCACCACCCCAGCCAGCCAGACGGCCAGAUCCCCCUCCUAACCGCCAGCCCCGGGAAGCCAAGCGACAACAGAGGUGUGCUAAGACCCCUAGUCACCCUCCGCCUGCUCCAGCACAGUGUUGGUGCGUGUUGAUGAGGUGCAUUUGUUGCUGUGGUGAGCGGGCAGUGCAGGCAUCGUCUGGCCUAUGCCAGCUGAUGCCACCACACCACACAGGAGAGCACAUUUCUGCCACUAGAAGUUAGCAUUAGCAACUGCACACCAUGGAGAAACACGCUCAGGUUUGUGUUAUUUGUGGAAAUAAAACAUCCACAUUGCAUUUUUUACCCAAGAAAGACGAGCAAGCAAGGGCAGGGGAAGAGUUGCAUUCUUAGUAGCCAAUCAGAGUCGAGACCUUAGCAUUUCAUGAUUAUUAAUGAGCAAGACUCCAAAUUCAGUCAGUUUCCACUCCCCACUCUUCCAGCUAACUUCUACUUCCUGAAACAGGAGUGUCAGGACUCUUUUACUGCAGGGAACAAUUCACAACUCAUUCAUACCAGAUCAGAGCAGAUUUAUUGCACAUGUGACUCAUUUAAAAGAGGGCAUGCCUUUCAUGUCAGAGUUUUAAACUAAGAUCAUCUUUUCUUGAGAAAUGAUCAAGUGACUCAUGCAAACAUACAAAGUAUUAAAACUCCAACAGCUGCCUACACAAGAUGUUAAGUUAGUGUGUAACUCUUGGGGCUCAUGCUGGUGAUGUCUCCUAACUAUUACAACACCACAUUUUAGCUUAACAUCUAUAAAUCUGGUCCAAUUACAGCUGUUCUUUUUGUUUAUUAGGGUCUGUUGGUGAUAGACGUCUAAAUUCAAUGAUUACUUUCUGAGAGAGGUGUGAGACAGACAAGGUUGACUCAAAAGGCAAAUGGUUGAUUUCAUUGAAAGGUUUGAAAUAAAAGCUGUGUUUGCACUGCACACACUAACGCUCCAUUCUGAAAUGUUUUAUGAUCUCAUCUGUUUUUAUUGUGCGGUUUUUCUGACAACAACUGAAAUGCAGUCAGAUGAACGGUCUACGGCCCUGAAGUGAUGCGCACGUGUGCAUGCUGUAUUUAAGUCAUGGCCAUGCUUGCUUCAUCCACUGUUGCAACCCAUGAUCAAAUGCAGAAUUGCACCGUGUGUCUCCCUUCGGUGACACAAAUAAACGUUCAGACUUUAUAAACCAUUUAACCACAUUAGAAUUUAUAAACAAAUCUCAUUUGUUUUGCUCAAACUGUGAUAAACCAUCAAAUACGGGUUAAGCAAGUCCGAUUUGAGCCACGUUUGCCUUUGGUGUGACGAUACACUGUCAUUUAGCACUGAUAAUGGGAAUGGCUUUUAGCCACUGGCACUAUGUACUUUACCUGACAGUCAUAACCAUUCGUGUUUCCGUUUGGGUCACCUCCUCAAGUUUACCAGCCACAGAUGCGUUAUACAUGCAAUCAUUAGAAACAUCUAACGAUGACUUUCUGUUACAACUUCUAUUAAAAGUCUUCUCGUAGUUAAGGGCGCCCUCAAGGGGUGGCCAGGGGUGGCCAUGGCCACCCCUAGAAAAAUAUUGCCCCCCCCCAGGAAAAGCCAGUGUUAACAAAUCAUAUUGAUGUUCAGUCAAACCAUAUAUUGAUCUUGUUUAUUCAAGACAUAAUUGUAAAACAAAAGAAAAUAUUACAAUUAAUGAGUAAAGAAAUAAUCAGAAAUUUAAAAAAUACAUAUGUUUCUGCUACUCAACUUUAAAAAAAGUUUUUAUCUCCAUAGUUUUUUUAUUUUUUGUGAACACAGCAACAGGUGAAUUAACCAAAAAAAAGCAUUUUUUAAUUAAAUUUGGGAUAACAUUUUAAACAACUGAAAUGUAUAUCUGAAAUGUUUGUGUUGGUAAAAGUGAAGUUAAAUGUUUUGGAUACGUACAGUUAUUUUGAUAAAAACUAAUAAAAACGCAAUGCAGUACAUCGCCACAGGCUAAAUUCUCCCAGAGUUACCACAAGGACCAAUUUGGUGUGCCACCCAAAAAAUGUCUUUCGCCCCAUCUGGCCACCCCUAUCAAAAUUUUCUGGAAGAAGAAGAAGAAAAGAUCUUUUCUAUAGCGCCUCUCAUGAUAAAAAUCUCGAGGUGCUUCACAAAAACAAAAAAUGUAAAAUAUAAAAAACAAUUUAGAAAAUGAUUAAAAAUACUUUUAGAAUGACCAAAAAUAGACAAUUGUGACUAAAAAAUGUAAAGAAAGAGAGUGAAUAGGAAAGAGGGAAAUCAGUGGAUCCUGAGGAAGGUGGAAUAGGUGGGGAGAGCAGAACAAGGAGAGGGUGAUGAGGGUGACGUGAUGGAGGCGCCCCUGCUCGUGGUUUUUGAGAUUUCAGACACAGGCACCAUCUUUUAGACAAUGGUGAUAAAAAUGUUCACUUGGCAUUAAUGGCUGUGAUGGGAACAAGAGGUCGUGUGUGUGAAAGCAGAACAACAACCUGUGUCUGCUUGGUUUUUUCUAGCUGAUACAGAAUAUUUACUCAAUGUAUAUUCAGAACUGAGAAUGUGUUGAUAUUUUUCGGCAGUAUGGUUCAGAUGAAGAUGAGAAAAAGGUCAUGUGGUUCCAGAGAGCACAGACCAUCUAAUCUAAAGUUCUACACAUCUCAUCAGCGUACCCACCCAUGAUCAGGCCCAGCUGGCUCUCCCUCUCAAACACCCUCCCCCUUCUGGAUUCACCCUUAUCUUCGUUACAGUCUCAGUAAUAUGAUCAAACCUGCUUGGUGAAACCCAACCUUUGUUUUAUUCGAUGGCGGCAUGGAAUGAGAUUCUAUUAAUAACAGCAGCCCAAUUGGGUUGGCUGGCUGACUCCCGGCGGAGGCAGCGCUGAAAAGGUUACGCAGGUGGAGUUGUAGCGAAGAUGGGGGUGAGAAGGAGAUGAUUCUGCCUUGAUCACUGGCUCUGAACAAGGUGUUAUCAGCUGCAGCAGAAAGGCAGAAGGGGGGGGAGCAGCCAGAAUGGCGUUAAUGACUCGCCUUGUUUUUUUUGAAGCAGAGUUGCGUUUUCAAACGCGAGGCAAUUAGAGGGGGAUUUGUUCUGUUGUGCUCUGGUUUCAGCAGUGACUUAGUGAAGCUGUCAUCUGCCGGCCAAUCAGCACCGGACAGGAGUGACUGCUGAGGGCCACCACACGCGGUGAUGUGACGUAAUUUCUGCUCAUAAACACACUUGAAACACACACCGUACCCCGUGCCUUGAAGACAGCAGGUAAUGUUUGAAUGCAUGCACACGCUGUUGUUGAAAAGCAUCCGUGUGCUCAGACACACGGCGUUUGUGAAGCACAGGUGACACAUUAUCGGAAUUCUUCACAUCUCAUUAUGUUGCCUUGCACAAAAGACAGAAAGGGGAGAAUAAAUUUGCCCCUGCUUGCUCCCAAACCGCUCUCUUUGUCUCCUCGGAUUAUCCAUCAGAGCAGCAACACACCCACUAUUAGUUUGCUGCUGCUGCUGACCCCAGUCAUUCAUUUAAUUGGCUGUUAAUUGCUAUUCUCUCUACAAAAGACAAUGUAUAUGUGGGGCUAUAUUUAGGCUCGCCCCUCGAUGGCUCUUCAUGCUAAAUUACAACUUUCAGCCAGGAGCUGAAGGGCCCCAUUGUGGCCUGUCGUUCUCCCCCUCUGUGACUGACUGACAGGCCGAGGAGGGGGGAAGACAUCCCUCCCACCCAGCUCCUAUCCUUCUCUUCACUCCUCUCUUUCCCCUUCUUUUUCCUUUUGCCAUCAGCUGCUCUACUGUACAAUCCGACACCUGGAUGAGGCUGCAUACCUGUCCUUUUUGACACAACAGCAGCAACUUUUUAUUAGUUUCCCUAAAUUGUACGCUACUUCCUACGAGGGCAGAAAAACAGUACUCAUCUAUUUAGCUAUUUGUUUCUGAACCCGUGCCGUGUGCUUUGCUCGACUUUCCUCUAACUCAAAGUUCAGACGUCUUGAU
Molecule: long non-coding RNA, 4590 nt
Organism: Nothobranchius furzeri (turquoise killifish)
Lineage: Eukaryota; Metazoa; Chordata; Actinopteri; Cyprinodontiformes; Nothobranchiidae
Source: Ensembl